RNAcentral lists this ribosomal RNA (400 nucleotides) under uncultured bacterium. Its description in RNAcentral is "bacterial SSU rRNA". It matches the Rfam family "Bacterial small subunit ribosomal RNA", at positions 355 to 746 of the family's 1533-position model. The record is from RNAcentral.
UGGGGAAUAUUGCGCAAUGGGGGAAACCCUGACGCAGCAACGCCGCGUGGGUGAAGAAGGCCUUCGGGUUGUAAAGCCCUUUCGGCCGGGAAGAAGGGUGUGAAUGAUAAUACCAUUCACAUUUGAUGGUACCGGAGGAAGAAGCACCGGCAAACUUCGUGCCAGCAGCCGCGGUAAUACGAAGGGUGCGAGCGUUGUUCGGAAUUAUUGGGCGUAAAGGGUUCGUAGGCGGGAUAGUAAGUUGAUUGUGAAAACCCUGGGCUCAACCUGGGACGUGCAGUCAAGACUGUUAUUCUUGAGUAUGGAAGAGGGUGGUGGAAUUGCUGGUGUAGGAGUGACAUCCGUAGAGAUCAGCAGGAACGCCGGAGGCGAAAGCGACCACCUGGUCCAAAACUGACGC